GUGCCAGCAGCCGCGGUAAUACGGAGGGGGCCAGCGUUGUUCGGAAUUAUUGGGCGUAAAGGGCGCGUAGGCGGCCGUUCAAGUCGGACGUGAAAUCCCUCGGCUCAACCGGGGAACUGCGUCCAAUACUGUUCGGCUUGAGUCCUGGAGAGGGUAGUGGAAUUCCCAGUGUAGCGGUGAAAUGCGUAGAUACUGGGAGGAACACCGGUGGCGAAGGCGGCUACCUGGACAGGUACUGACGCUGAGGCGCGAAAGCUAGGGGAGCAAACAGGAUUAGAAACCCUCGUAGUCC
This 292-nucleotide ribosomal RNA is filed under the name uncultured bacterium. RNAcentral describes it as "partial 16S ribosomal RNA". It matches the Rfam family "Bacterial small subunit ribosomal RNA", at positions 505 to 796 of the family's 1533-position model. The record is from RNAcentral.